AAGUCUGGUGCCAGCAGCCGCGGUAAUUCCAGCUCCAAUAGCGUAUAUUAAAAUUGUUGCGGUUAAAACGCUCGUAGUUGGAUAUCUGUGAGCGGGUUUCGGUCCUUCCCAGUGAAGAUUACACGGAACUCUGCUCGCAUUUGUUCAGGGAGGGUGGAUGCACUUCACUGUGUGACCACAUGAUCUGAAUUUUUACUUUGAGGAAAUGAGAGUGUUCCAAGCAGGCAAUCGCCGUGAAUAUGAUAGCAUGGAAUAAUAGCACAGGACUCUUGGUUCAAUGCUGUUGGUUUGUUGAACUAGAGUAAUCACAAUA
RNAcentral lists this ribosomal RNA (313 nucleotides) under uncultured dinoflagellate. RNAcentral describes it as "bacterial SSU rRNA". It matches the Rfam family "Eukaryotic small subunit ribosomal RNA", at positions 557 to 874 of the family's 1831-position model. The record is from RNAcentral. Lineage: Eukaryota; Dinophyceae.